Molecule: long non-coding RNA, 797 nt
Organism: Electrophorus electricus (electric eel)
Lineage: Eukaryota; Metazoa; Chordata; Actinopteri; Gymnotiformes; Gymnotidae
Source: RefSeq, a predicted model, not a curated record
GCAGAGGAGUGGGCAGGGUUGGGAUAGCGCAAGUGAACUGAACUUCUGCGCUGGUCUUCAGAACCAUGCUCAAAAUGUUACUUCAUUAAGAAACGUGUUAAUUUGAAGAAACGAUUGCUGUGUUCCUUUAAUUUUAAUGGGGCGGUCCACCUGGUAAUUGGAUUCAUUAUAUUACCUUCGAUUGAGGCCAUUUGAUGGAAAACUUGAGCGCAUCGUGCGGCGCGUUUCUCAACAUGUCAGAUUUCUGAAUGCAGGUAAGCCACUGACUAACGCACAUUGCGCCUAUUCUCGAUUCCACUGUGCGUGUGACAGCGGCUAACCAGCUCUUGGAUGUGUCUCUGAGUUGAGCAGUCGUGGGAAUGCCCUUCGGAAGACUACUUCAUAUGUCGCGCUGAACGGGUAUAGCCCUUUAUUGGAUGUUUUCCUUCGCCAUUGUGGUAGUAGAGCCUACGUGCCAGAUGUCACAGUAAAGAACUUUCCAAGUACCAUAGAUUUUUCAUGAAUACCAAGCGCUACGGAAUCUUGACUGAACUCUGAUAUCGAGUUUUGAUAUGUAAUGCAAACCCGUCUUUAUGCGGGCACUUGUAUUUUAAUGUUGUUGUAUUUUCUUUACACGCUACUUACGUGUUUGACCCCUCUUUCAACCUCUUAAACUUUUCAAGUUAGUGUUAUUUGAACCAGUUUGUGAUUGGAAAUACCCAAAUGGUGAGCACACUAUAAUAGCGCUAUUUUGAGGACACUUUUAAAAGCUCAAAUGUGCACUGUACAUGUCAAAAUUAAAAUUUAUUUUAUGUAGA